Molecule: ribosomal RNA, 438 nt
Filed under: uncultured bacterium
Lineage: Bacteria
Description: partial 16S ribosomal RNA
Rfam family: Bacterial small subunit ribosomal RNA
Source: RNAcentral
CUACGGGCUGCUCCAGUGGGGAAUUUUGCGCAAUGGGGGAAACCCUGACGCAGCAAUACCGCGUGAGUGAAGAAGGCCUUUGGGUCGUAAAGCUCUUUUCUUGGGGAAGAUAGUGACGGUACCCAAGGAAUAAGCACCGGCUAACUCCGUGCCAGCAGCCGCGGUAAUACGGAGGGUGCAAGCGUUGUUCGGAUUUACUGGGCGUAAAGGGCACGUAGGCGGCACAGCAAGUUAAGGGUGAAAUCCCGGGGCUCAACUCCGGAACUGCUCUUAAAACUGCUGAGCUAGAGAUAGUCGAGGCGGGUGGAAUUCCAGGUGUAGAGGUGAAAUUCGUAGAUAUCUGGAGGAACACCGGUGGCGAAGGCGGCCCGCUGGGGCUAUUCUGACGCUAAGGUGCGAAAGCGUGGGGAGCAAACGGGAUUAGAUACCCGAGUAGUC